GAGGGAAACUACUCACUGACUCCUGCUUGAUCCAAAACAACACUCCUCAUAAAAUUUGUAGAAAAUUAAAAGGGGAACAUCUUCCAGAAGGAGGAGGGGCAGCAUUCUCUCCUGAGUGUGAAGCCAGCUCUUGGUGUUGCUUCUCUGGAACUGUCAUUUGCCGUUGAUGUUGAUGGUCUUGGAGAGUGAGAGGGAGAGGACAUAGUCUGAGUGGC
Small nucleolar RNA from Diceros bicornis minor, 215 nucleotides. RefSeq annotates it as small nucleolar RNA U3. NCBI's taxonomy places the organism in Eukaryota, Metazoa, Chordata, Mammalia, Perissodactyla, Rhinocerotidae. The record is from RefSeq and is a predicted model, not a curated record. The transcript has a single exon.